This is a long non-coding RNA of Panicum virgatum (switchgrass), 1512 nucleotides long. RefSeq lists it as uncharacterized. The transcript is spliced from 4 exons. The record is from RefSeq and is a predicted model, not a curated record. Lineage: Eukaryota; Viridiplantae; Streptophyta; Magnoliopsida; Poales; Poaceae.
CGGGCGGACCGGCGCGGCGCAGGCAAGCAGCGAGCGCGGCGACGACAUGGGCGACGGCGCACGCUAGAGCGGGGCGGAGGGCGAGCGCGUGCGCGUAGAGGGCGAGCGAGAGGCAGCACUUAUAAGGGUGAGGACGCGCGUCGCACGCGGCGUUCGCGGGCGGCGUUCGUGGCCAACUUGAACACGGCUCUGCUCGGCUUGGUCUGGGUGUGUGUGGAUGCUUCUACCAUUAGCACUAAUGAUUAUGUUAAGCUCUCAAUUAAUCCUAAUUAAGAUAAUUAACACAUGGGGUGUUGCAGUGCAUCUCAAAGUAUGAAUAUGAGAUUUUUUUUAUUGAAUUGUGCUAACUGAAAUAUGAUGCCUUUUUUUGAUUGAUUAUGCUAACUGAUAUAUGAUGCCUUUUUUAAUCUCAAAGGAUGGCAUGAAGUUGAUAUAGGACUUCUUGUCCAACGGAAACGAGUAGUCUGUGUGUAUAGGUACUAUAUUUUCUGCUUGUAGCAUUUGAGUUUGUUACCAGUGUGCAUCUCAAAGUAUGAAUAUGAGAUUUUUUUAUUGAAUUGUGCUAACUUAUAUAUGAUGCCUUUUUUUGAUUGAUUAUGCUAACUGACAAAUAUUAACAUCUUAGCUAAUCUCUCCAUAUAAAAGCAGUUUUUUUUUACCUCAACUAGAUGUGCGCAGAUGAUAGCACAACCAAGGCACAUUCAGGCUUUUAGAGGUCCACCACAAAGGGUGUUGUCUGGUGUUUUGCAUUCUUUUCUUGCAAGUUGCAGAGCUGGUGUGCCGUUUCAACCUGUUCCAGUACCAGCUCUUGGUUUAUCCGGAAGCGACAAACAAUGCUUAGGUCAAUACUUUAUUGCAUUUGCUUGAUAUUGACAACUGAAUGAGAGGCCCUAUGCAUGGACAGUACCCAGAGCUGGAACAGUACUCGAAUCAGUCCAAAAGUUCUAUGGGACCUAUCUCGAUGCAUAAUGCUGCAGAUAAAUAGAUUACCGAGUUUCGCAAUCAAAAUAAUAACCCAGAAAGCUGGGCAAAUUCUUUCGAGCAGCAAUAUGGAAAUGGUUGGGCCUCUGAGUUUGAACAGGGAUCUUUUUAUCCACUACAUAAUGAGAUCUUUUUAAGGCUCGCAGUGCUGUAUGAUAGGCUAUAUCCUAUUAUCCACUACAUAUGAACACACUGCUGGCAACUCUUGCGCAUCUCAUCCAAGACGUUUCUGGUUACCAGCUAAGAAUUAUGGUCACAUGCAUUUUUUUUAAAUAUGCAUUGACCACAAGCGCCAAAUGAUCCAUGGAGCACAUAGCAUCUAUUGAUCACAUAAAGCCUUCCAUUUUCUUAUGAUAGAUUAACCAUCAAGCGCCGGUCGUUUGUAACUCUGGGGAAUUCACAGCAUACCACUCCACUGUAUUUUAGGAUCCAUCAGGAAUUUGAUUAGACCUUCCAUUAUAGGGUACUGUAUAAAUGGUUCUCUUAUCGUACUAUGGGCCAGCAGCUGCCAAGUUGUGUUGCUUCUGCAAA